This 62-nucleotide microRNA precursor is filed under the name Phlebotomus papatasi. Its description in RNAcentral is "microRNA mir-308". The record is from RNAcentral. Lineage: Eukaryota; Metazoa; Arthropoda; Insecta; Diptera; Psychodidae.
CUAAUAUUUCUCUCCUGAGAUUCGUUGACUAUUAUGAACGAAUCUCAGGAGAGAAAUAUUGG